CCUACGGGGUGCAGCAGUGGGGAAUAUUGGACAAUGGGCGAAAGCCUGAUCCAGCCAUGCCGCGUGUGUGAAGAAGGCCUUCGGGUUGUAAAGCACUUUCAGUGGGGAAGAAAGCCUUGGGGCUAAUACCCUCGAGGAAGGACAUCACCCACAGAAGAAGCACCGGCUAACUCCGUGCCAGCAGCCGCGGUAAUACGGAGGGUGCGAGCGUUAAUCGGAAUUACUGGGCGUAAAGCGCGCGUAGGCGGUCUGAUAAGCCGGUUGUGAAAGCCCCGGGCUCAACCUGGGAACGGCAUCCGGAACUGUCAGGCUAGAGUGCAGGAGAGGAAGGUAGAAUUCCCGGUGUAGCGGUGAAAUGCGUAGAGAUCGGGAGGAAUACCAGUGGCGAAGGCGGCCUUCUGGACUGACACUGACGCUGAGGUGCGAAAGCGUGGGUAGCAAACAGGAUUAGAUACCCUAUAGUC
This 464-nucleotide ribosomal RNA is filed under the name Vreelandella stevensii. Its description in RNAcentral is "partial 16S ribosomal RNA". It matches the Rfam family "Bacterial small subunit ribosomal RNA", at positions 338 to 795 of the family's 1533-position model. The record is from RNAcentral. Lineage: Bacteria; Pseudomonadati; Pseudomonadota; Gammaproteobacteria; Oceanospirillales; Halomonadaceae.